UUAAUUGUAUUUGAAUUGAUCUGGUAAUGGGGAAUAUGAACAGAUUUCAAACUGUAAUUGUAUAAAUUCUCCAUUGAUAAUUGGAGCUUUGAUUGAAUGUGUUGUAUUUUGGUUGAAAACUUGUUUUAAUUGUAUUAGAAUUGAUCUCAUAAUGUGGAAUAUGAAUAGAUUUCAAAUUGUAAUUGUACAAAUUCUCCAUUGAUAAUUGGAUUUUUGGUUGAAUGUGUGUUUUGAAUAAUUUUCUGUGGAAUUAGGGUCCGUAUAAAAUAGUGUUAAUAUAAAUAUAGAGUUGAUAUAUGUAGUUGUAUAACUUAUCUAUCGCAGUACAUAAUUGUAUAAAUUAGUUUUAGUGAAAUUGUUGUUUGAAUAUGUAUAAUUCAUUGAUGGUUAUAAUUUUAGUAGAAUUAAUGUCUGUAUAAAUUAUUCGUAAUUGUACAAAUAGAGACUUGAUAUAUGCAUUUGUAUAUAGGGGUGUUCACGGAUCGGUUUGGAUCGGUUAUUGGUAAAAAUCAAAACCAAACCAACUUAAUCGGUUCUAAAAUUAUCAAAACCAAACCAAA
Molecule: long non-coding RNA, 560 nt
Filed under: Solanum tuberosum (potato)
Lineage: Eukaryota; Viridiplantae; Streptophyta; Magnoliopsida; Solanales; Solanaceae
Description: long non-coding RNA (STUB_LNC001460)
Source: RNAcentral